AGCAUAUCAAUAAGCGGAGGAAAAGAAACCAACAGGGAUUGCCCCAGUAACGGCGAGUGAAGCGGCAACAGCUCAAAUUUGAAAUCUGGCCCUAGGCCCGAGUUGUAAUUUGCAGAGGAUGCUUUUGGCGCGGUGCCUUCCGAGUUCCCUGGAACGGGACGCCAUAGAGGGUGAGAGCCCCGUACGGUUGGACACCAAGUCUUUGUAAAGCUCCUUCGACGAGUCGAGUAGUUUGGGAAUGCUGCUCAAAAUGGGAGGUAUAUUUCUUCUAAAGCUAAAUAUUGGCCAGAGACCGAUAGCGCACAAGUAGAGUGAUCGAAAGAUGAAAAGCACUUUGAAAAGAGGGUUAAACAGCACGUGAAAUUGUUAAAAGGGAAGCGCUUGUGACCAGACUUGCGUCCGGUGAAUCACCCAGCUCUCGCGGCUGGGGCAUUUUGCCGGCUCAGGCCAGCAUCAGCUUGCCGUCGGGGACAAAAGCUUCGGGAACGUAGCUCUCUUCGGGGAGUGUUAUAGCCCGUUGCAUAAUACCCUUCGGUGGGCUGAGGUACGCGCUCCGCAAGGAUGCUGGCGUAAUGGUCAUCAGCGACCCGUCUUGAAACACGGACCAAGGAGUCAACCUUAUGUGCGAGUGUUUGGGUGUUAAACCCCUACGCGUAAUGAAAGUGAACGCAGGUGAGAGCUUCGGCGCAUCAUCGACCGAUCCUGAUGUUCUCGGAUGGAUUUGAGUAAGAGCAUAUAGGGUUGGACCCGAAAGAAGGUGAACUAUGCGUGUAUAGGGUGAAGCCAGAGGAAACUCUGGUGGAGGCUCGCAGCGGUUCUGACGUGCAAAUCGAUCGUCAAAUAUGCGCAUGGGGGCGAAAGACUAAUCGAACCUUCUAGUAGCUGGUUCCCCA
RNAcentral lists this ribosomal RNA (893 nucleotides) under Colletotrichum truncatum. RNAcentral's name for it is "partial large subunit ribosomal RNA". It matches the Rfam family "Eukaryotic large subunit ribosomal RNA", at positions 37 to 961 of the family's 3401-position model. Lineage: Eukaryota; Fungi; Ascomycota; Sordariomycetes; Glomerellales; Glomerellaceae. The record is from RNAcentral.